AUGGAAACGGCCGAACACUCAGACAUUGCAGCUCCGGCAGAUCGCGAGGUGGAACUCGCCACGGACACCGUGGAUGGAGGAGAGAUGCAGGUGAGCCCGGGCGACGAGCAGGAACAGAUCCGUGCGGAGACGGAUCCGACGGACGCCGCCGGAGAAGACCUGCUGGACCUCUUCCCUGACCCGCCCCCCGACGCAAUGGAGCCUGAAGACCUAGAGGACGAGGAGAGCAGUCUUUGUGGCGACACAACGAGUCUGGACCACAAGGACUCCCCCUGUCCCGGUACAGGACACGACGAGCUCAACAGGAACGAGUCCAUCGCCUCGUCUGUAUCCGACACGCUGUCCAGCGCCGACAGCGUCUAUGAGAACGAGGCUCACCGUAAGAGACCAGACCCCCAGGAGCCGGAACCAGAGCCCAGCCCUGGAGAGGACCUGCCCCCUGGACCUCAAGACCAGGAGGACCUUCUCCCUGGAACCCAAGACCUGGAGGACCUGCUCCCUGGACCCGAAGACCAGGAGGACCUGCCCCCUGCCCCCCUAGACCUGGAGGACUUGCCUCCUGCACCCCUUGACCAGGAGGACCUGCCCCCUGGACCACAAGACCAAGAGGACCAAGACCAAGAGGACCUGCCACCUGGACCCCUAGACCAAGAGGACCACGACCAGGAGGACCUGCUCCCUGGACCCCCAGACAAGGAGGACCAAGACCAAGAGGACCUGCCACCUGGACCCCUAGACAUGGAGGACAAAGACCGGGAGGACCUGCUCCCUGAACCCCUUGACCAGGAGGACCUGCUCCCUGAACCCCUAGACCAGGAGGACCUGCUCCCUGAACCCCUAGACCAGGAGGACCAAGACCAGUUCGCCCCUGAAACCCGAGAGGACCCUGUGAGUCCCGACUUCCCGUUAGAUGCUCCGACCGGGGAGGCAGAGGAUUCGAACCUGGGUCAUUACAUCAACGAAGAUGCCCUGUCCGAUGCCUCUAAUGAGUCCUACCACGACCUGGAGGCCGACGAGUGCCUGAGGGUGGAGAUCGCCGUGGCCUCGUCCGACAGCGACACGGACGAAAAGUGGAGGGCGAUCUUCUCCUCUUCCAUCAACAGAGAGGACGAUGACUCGUACCUGGACGGCCUCCAGCUGAGCGCCCAGGAGCUCUUUGUGCAGAAGGUAGAGGUGAGCGACACUGAGGAAGAGGAGGACCACGCUCCGACAGAGGAAACCCCCUUUGAGGAAGAGCCGGGACGAGGUGCUGGAGCAGCCCAUCGACGUGGUGUCCUUCUCUUCUCCCUCCCAGGAGGUCCUGUACAACCCCUUAUCCCAGCCGGGACUGUCCAAAAUCUCAGAGGACGACGGCGAAAACGGAAAGGUCCCUUUCAACCGCGGCCACCUCCUGCCCUCCCCACCUCUGAGCGCCGACCACACCAAGAAGCUGCCCAAGGACUUCUGUGUGAUCCAGGAGACCAAGAGCGAGAACGUCAGCAACGAGCACGUGGACUUCCAGGUGGCUCGCAACAAUGGCUGGAGAUGGAGGAGCAGAGCAAGAAGCAGAUCGUGUCGCCCACCGCCAAGACGCCUACCCUCCAGGGCAGCCACAGCUUCAUGUACACGCCGUCCGCAACGUGGAGAGGCCUCAGAGGAGGGAGCACUCCCUGGAGAACCUGA
This is a long non-coding RNA of Gadus morhua (Atlantic cod), 1662 nucleotides long. The record is from Ensembl. Lineage: Eukaryota; Metazoa; Chordata; Actinopteri; Gadiformes; Gadidae.